RNAcentral lists this ribosomal RNA (274 nucleotides) under uncultured bacterium. RNAcentral describes it as "partial 16S ribosomal RNA". It matches the Rfam family "Bacterial small subunit ribosomal RNA", at positions 523 to 796 of the family's 1533-position model. The record is from RNAcentral.
AUACGGAGGAUCCGAGCGUUAUCCGGAUUUAUUAGGUUUAAAGGGUGCGCAGGCGGAACUGUAAGUCACCGGUGAAAUCCUACAGCUUAACUGUAGAACUGCCGGUGAUACUGCGAUUCUUGAGUAUAGUUGAGGUAGGCGGAAUGUGUAGUGUAGCGGUGAAAUGCAUAGAUAUUACACAGAACACCGAUUGCGAAGGCAGCUUACUAAACUAUUACUGACGCUCAUGCACGAAAGCGUGGGGAGCGAACAGGAUUAGAAACCCCUGUAGUCC